Molecule: transfer RNA, 101 nt
Filed under: Tistrella mobilis
Lineage: Bacteria; Pseudomonadati; Pseudomonadota; Alphaproteobacteria; Geminicoccales; Geminicoccaceae
Also listed under: 1 other name
Description: tRNA-OTHER
Source: RNAcentral
GCCGGAGUGGUGAAACUGGCAGACACCGGAAGUGCGGCCCUGGUCGUUCUUCCGCCGGGGCCUUCGUGUCCUUGCAGGUUCAAGUCCUGCCUCCGGCACCA